AUCAGGGUUUGGCUGGCCACCUGGGGGAAGAACCAGCUAUUAUCUGGAGGUGGCUGUGAGAUUCGGGCUGCUGCUGCUGGCAGGCCUUCGGGGAAGCAACCGGAGUACUGAUCUGGUGUAGCCAGGUCUGUGUGUGUGAGAGGCGAAAGCUUCCACUCGCUUCGUUGGUAUCAAGUAAGAGCAGAGCAGAACCUGAUAUCAUGGCCCACAAGAGAUUAUUAAUGCUGAGGACUCUAAAGGCGUGUUGAGGUAAGUGUCUCCCUGGGUUACAAUGACCCUUUGCUUCUAGUAAAGAAAUCGGUUCAGAUUUUGCAUGAAAUGAGAUUGCUCUGAGUGACUUUGGUUGACAGCCCCAGCUGGAGCAGGAGGCAUCCUUGUGCUUCAGCCUCACUGCAGCGGUUGGUGAGGUACCAGAGAGCCUGUUAGGCUGCCUCAGUAACUUGGAGGGGGAUCCCACCUCUCUUGAACACACAUAGAGGGGAAGAAGCUGUGAGGUUGCACACGGUUCUGCUCAGAGGAGGUGGGACUCCC
RNAcentral lists this long non-coding RNA (531 nucleotides) under Struthio camelus australis. RNAcentral's name for it is "lncRNA (ENSSCUG00000005015.1)". Lineage: Eukaryota; Metazoa; Chordata; Aves; Struthioniformes; Struthionidae. The record is from RNAcentral.